RNAcentral lists this long non-coding RNA (258 nucleotides) under Crocodylus porosus (Australian saltwater crocodile). RNAcentral describes it as "lncRNA (ENSCPRG00005013729.1)". The record is from RNAcentral. Lineage: Eukaryota; Metazoa; Chordata; Crocodylia; Crocodylidae.
CUGUUAAAUCUGAAGAUCUAAAUUCUAAAAUCGUGGCAUUUGAAGAGUGUAAGGCACUUUGCAAAUAUUGAUAGCAGUAAGAAAGGAGGGAUGGACAAAAGAAGCUUGCCUUGCUUGGAGAUACUGUCAGAAACCAACCUUCGAUGCACUUUCAGAUAGGGUGUGGGUUUGGAAUCUCACUCUAAGGAACAGAAAGGACACACAUCAAGAAUUGUUUUUGUCUAAUGUGGUUUAUGAAUGUCAGAAGCAAUAUGUUGC